UUAAGAAUUUUGCGCAAUGGGCGAAAGCCUGACGCAGCGACGCCGCGUGGACGAUGAAGGUCUUCGGAUUGUAAAGUCCAGUAAGCAGGGACGAAUAAGCAAGGGGUAAUAUUCCUUGUGAUGACGGUACCUGUCUAAAGCCUCGGCUAACUACGUGCC
This 159-nucleotide ribosomal RNA is filed under the name uncultured bacterium. Its description in RNAcentral is "partial 16S ribosomal RNA". It matches the Rfam family "Bacterial small subunit ribosomal RNA", at positions 355 to 509 of the family's 1533-position model. The record is from RNAcentral.